GAUAAACGCUGGCGGCGUGCAUUAUGCAUGCAAGUCGAACGGUGCCCGCAAGGGCACAGUGGCAAACGGGUGAGUAACACAUAAGUAACCUGUCCCUGAGUGGGGAAUAAUUGGCCGAAAGGCUGACUAAUACCGCAUUCGAUGUGCCCUCACAAGAGGGUUCAUGAAAGCCGCAAGGCGCUCGGGGAGGGGCUUGUGUCCGAUUAGCUAGUUGGUGAGGUAAUGGCCCACCAAGGCUGUGAUCGGUAGCUGGUCUGAGAGGAUGGUCAGCCACACUGGGACUGAGACACGGCCCAGACUCCUACGGGUGGCAG
This 314-nucleotide ribosomal RNA is filed under the name uncultured Chloroflexota bacterium. RNAcentral's name for it is "bacterial SSU rRNA". It matches the Rfam family "Bacterial small subunit ribosomal RNA", at positions 28 to 351 of the family's 1533-position model. The record is from RNAcentral. Lineage: Bacteria; Bacillati; Chloroflexota.